GAUGAACGCUAGCUACAGGCUUAACACAUGCAAGUCGAGGGGCAGCAUUUCAGUUUGCUUGCAAACUGGAGAUGGCGACCGGCGCACGGGUGAGUAACACGUAUCCAACCUGCCGAUAACUCGGGGAUAGCCUUUCGAAAGAAAGAUUAAUACCCGAUGGUAUAAUCAGACCGCAUGGUCUUGUUAUUAAAGAAUUUCGGUUAUCGAUGGGGAUGCGUUCCAUUAGGCAGUUGGUGAGGUAACGGCUCACCAAACCUUCGAUGGAUAGGGGUUCUGAGAGGAAGGUCCCCCACAUUGGAACUGAGACACGGUCCAAACUCCUACGGGAGGCAGCAGUGAGGAAUAUUGGUCAAUGGGCGCAGGCCUGAACCAGCCAAGUAGCGUGAAGGAUGACUGCCCUAUGGGUUGUAAACUUCUUUUAUAUGGGAAUAAAGUUUUCCACGUGUGGAAUUUUGUAUGUACCAUAUGAAUAAGGAU
This 477-nucleotide ribosomal RNA is filed under the name uncultured bacterium. RNAcentral describes it as "bacterial SSU rRNA". It matches the Rfam family "Bacterial small subunit ribosomal RNA", at positions 28 to 493 of the family's 1533-position model. The record is from RNAcentral.